GGGUAUAUACUUCAGUGGUAGAACACGAUCCUGAGUCAGAUUGCCCCAUUUUAUCCCCCAUUCACUUCGAUGGCGAGAGCCGUUGGUUCAAUUCCAGCUGUACUCC
Molecule: non-coding RNA, 106 nt
Organism: Zopfia rhizophila CBS 207.26
Lineage: Eukaryota; Fungi; Ascomycota; Dothideomycetes; Zopfiaceae
Source: the annotation of a GenBank genome assembly